GCCUUCCGGAUGGAUGAAAGCAGAAGCAGUGGCUGGAGCUAGAGCAGCUAUUUAGGACUAUGAGAUGGAAGAAAUGUGGUGACAAUAGCAGAACAAAAAUAUAGAAAUCUUGGGUACUUGAUGACCACGGAGCCGCCAUACAAACUCUGGACUAUAAUUUCCAGAGACUGUUUAUAGAAUGAAGAUACUGUCAUUACCUCUGCAAAGAAUGCAUCCUAGCACAGAUCAAAGAUCUUCCAAGUCCAGCCACACCAUUUUACAGUUCUGAACCUCGACUUAGGAAAGCAGUGGAUCUUUAUACAUUUGACACAUCCCUUCCCUCUAGGAUCUCUGUGGCUAUUGAAAAUGGACUGGAGAAGAUGAGUGGGAGUGAGAAGAGGAUAACAGAAUCAGAUAAAAACCUGUCAUGUUACUAAGAGCAGGAGAUGAGGCAGCCUGGACCAAGAUGGUGGCAGAGAGAAGAAAAUUGCUUGAGAGAAUUGAUUAAACUACUUGGUUAGCACAGAUAGAGCUGAAUCAAAAAUUAGGAUGGUAAGCUAAGUAAUUUUACACACAAAAAGGCAGAGUUGCAUUCAUAAUUAGUCUCUCCUUCAGACUGAAUAUUACAGACAAAAUAUAGCCAUUGGUGUUGCAAUCACUUCCUUUGGGUUUGUAUCCAAGGUUAAGAAUGUCAGCAUCCAAAGACCCAAAUUCUUAAUGUUUUUAGUUGAUAAAGUUUAUUCAAGGUAGACAGCCUGUGUUGAAUAACUUAGUCUUCCACAAAUUUCAAGAAAAAUCCAUUGUCCCUCUUCUCCGCCACAGACACACUUUAGUUGAACAUUAAGCAUAUUUAUUAAAGAAACAUUCUCCUUGUGCUUUUUCUCCCAAGAUGGAUGGUGUUCUUACUUAGAGUUAUAAGUGUCAGAAUAAAAAUGCCCAUGAGGUUGAAUUGUAUGAUGUUAUAGUAAAGUGAGAUAAACAUUCUCAGAAACAUGAUUGUGACUUAAAAAAAAAAAAAACCAACAAACCACUUUCUGUAGAGGAAUUAUGCUUUGGGGACAGAAACUUUCCUUUAUAAUUUUUACAGCUGCACGCAGAUAAAGUGUAUUAAAAAGGCACAACACAUCAAUUAUGAAAACAUGGCUACCCUUUAAGAGAACACAGACUUUUUCCAGAUCCAUCUUAAAUCUCAGGAAUUCUAGAUCGAGACAGGCAUGAAUGCUCCUGUUGCUGAAAUCACUCUGAUUUCCUUCUUGUUAAACACUUCACUCAGCAACAUUAUAGAUUAGCACCAAAAAAGUUGUUUGUAGGUGAAAAACUGUUCAGAAAAGGACACCUUAUUAGGCAGGCUGUCGAUUUACAAAUAAAAGCCGAUUCUGGCUCUCC
This 1365-nucleotide long non-coding RNA is filed under the name Homo sapiens (human). Its description in RNAcentral is "non-protein coding LINC00690:7". Lineage: Eukaryota; Metazoa; Chordata; Mammalia; Primates; Hominidae. The record is from RNAcentral.